Molecule: ribosomal RNA, 463 nt
Filed under: uncultured bacterium
Lineage: Bacteria
Description: partial 16S ribosomal RNA
Rfam family: Bacterial small subunit ribosomal RNA
Source: RNAcentral
GAUGAACGCUGACAGAAUGCUUAACACAUGCAAGUCGAUGGGGAAGUGGUGCUUGCACCAUGGUAACCAUGGCGGACGGGUGAGUAACGCGUAAGGAACUUACCUGCGGGACCGGGAUAAUAGCAGGAAACUGCUGACAAGACCGGAUAAGGUCAUUAAGCUGCAUAGCUUAGUGAUGAAAGGAGACGCCUGCGGAGAGCCUUGCGUCCUAUUAGCUAGUUGGAGGGGUAACGGCCCACCAAGGCGAAGAUAGGUAGCCGGCCUGAGAGGGUGGACGGCCACAAGGGGACUGAGAUACGGCCCUUACUCCUACGGGAGGCAGCAGUGGGGAAUAUUGGACAAUGGGGGCAACCCUGAUCCAGCAAUUCUGUGUGCACGAAGACGGUUUUCGGAUUGUAAAGUGCUUUCAGCAGGGAAGAAGGAAGUGACGGUACCUGCAGAAGAAGCGACGGCUAAAUACGUG